Molecule: long non-coding RNA, 730 nt
Organism: Mauremys mutica (yellowpond turtle)
Lineage: Eukaryota; Metazoa; Chordata; Testudines; Geoemydidae
Exons: 3
Source: RefSeq, a predicted model, not a curated record
GACUCAGCUUUUGGUUCAGAAAGCAGCCAGAAGAAGGCAUUUAUACUCCAUCCAUCACCAUGGUAUCCGAGUCUACAUGCUGGAAUAAUGCACGUGGGCACUGCACCAUAUGGAGCACGGAGCAGCUGUUACCAACCUGGAUCCUUCUUUGGGAAGUACUCUGGUGUUAAAUGAACUGCUCUGAUUGACACACACAGGAUGGGGCUAAAAGGUGUAAAUGUUUCAAUGCGGCCCCUAUCAACUCCAUCCCAGAGGCUGGUCCAGAUUAGAAGGCGAGAAAAUGAACUCAGGAUAACAUGUUCGCUGAGCUCAUGCAGUCCUCCUGCACUGAUAGGGCCCAGCUGAAUGUGUGGAGUCAAACAAUUGCGGAGUCCUGUAAAGCAUUACAGGAACACAAAGUGAGGAGGGACACAUGCGAUGAGAGCAGGCAGGAGGCUAUAGUCAAGCUCAUGGGGGAGCAAACUGACAUGCUCCACUGCAUGGUGGAUCUAAUGUGGGAAAGGCAACAAGACCACAGACUGCCGCUGCAGCCCCUGUAUAACUGCCCUCCCCCUCCCUGAGUUCCAUAGCCUCCUCACCCAGACGCCCAAGAACACAAGUGGGGAGGCUAUGGGGACCCACACACGCAACCCCAGAGGAUCGCCCAAGCAGCAGAAAGCUGACAUAUGAGAACUUUUGAUUUGGUUUCUGGACUUGUUCUUCCCUCCUCCUCAACCCCCUAACCCAAUAC